GACGAACGCUGGCGGCGUGCUUAACACAUGCAAGUCGAACGGUAAGGCCCUUCGGGGUACACGAGUGGCGAACGGGUGAGUAACACGUGGGUGAUCUGCCCUGCACUUCGGGAUAAGCCUGGGAAACUGGGUCUAAUACCGGAUAGGACCACUGCCUGCAUGGGUGGUGGUGGAGAGCUUUUGCGGUGUGGGAUGGGCCCGCGGCCUAUCAGCUUGUUGUUGGGGUGAUGGCCUACCAAGGCGACGACGGGUAGCCGGCCUGAGAGGGUGACCGGCCACACUGGGACUGAGAUACGGCCCAGACUCCUACGAGAGGCAGCAGUGGGGAAUAUUGCACAAUGGGCGCAAGCCUGAUGCAGCGACGCCGCGUGAGGGAUGACGGCCUUCGGGUUGUAAACCUCUUUCAGCACCGACGAAGCGCAAGUGACGGUAGGUGCAGAAGAAGGACCGGCCAACUACGUGCCAGCCGCCGCCGUAA
This 478-nucleotide ribosomal RNA is filed under the name uncultured bacterium. RNAcentral's name for it is "partial 16S ribosomal RNA". It matches the Rfam family "Bacterial small subunit ribosomal RNA", at positions 28 to 523 of the family's 1533-position model. The record is from RNAcentral.